CGUCCCAGUUCGGAUUGUAGUCUGCAACCCGACUACAUGAAGCUGGAAUCGCUAGUAAUCGCGAAUCAGAAUGUCGCGGUGAAUACGUUCCCGGGUCUUGUACACACCGCCCGUCACACCAUGGGAGUCGGAAAUGCCCGAAGCCGGUGACCCAACCAAAAGGAGGGAGCCGUCGAAGGCAGGUCUGAUAACUGGGGUGAAGUCGUAACAAGGUACC
RNAcentral lists this ribosomal RNA (217 nucleotides) under uncultured bacterium. RNAcentral describes it as "partial 16S ribosomal RNA". It matches the Rfam family "Bacterial small subunit ribosomal RNA", at positions 1284 to 1500 of the family's 1533-position model. The record is from RNAcentral.